Molecule: ribosomal RNA, 491 nt
Filed under: uncultured bacterium
Lineage: Bacteria
Description: partial 16S ribosomal RNA
Rfam family: Bacterial small subunit ribosomal RNA
Source: RNAcentral
GUGAACGCUGGCGGUAGGCCUAACACAUGCAAGUCGAACGGCAGCACAGUAAGAGCCUGCUCUUACGGGUGGCGAGUGGCGGACGGGUGAGGAAUACAUCGGAAUCUACUUUUUCGUGGGGGAUAACGUAGGGAAACUUACGCUAAUACCGCAUCCGACCUACGGGUGAAAGCAGGGGAUCUUCGGACCUUGCGCGAUUGAAUGAGCCGAUGUCGGAUUAGCUAGUUGGCGGGGUAAAGGCCCACCAAGGCGACGAUCCGUAGCUGGUCUGAGAGGAUGAUCAGCCACACUGGAACUGAGACACGGUCCAGACUCCUACGGGAGGCAGCAGUGGGGAAUAUUGGACAAUGGGCGCAAGCCUGAUCCAGCCAUACCGCGUGGGUGAAGAAGGCCUUCGGGUUGUAAAGCCCUUUUGUUGGGAAAGAAAAGCAGCAGGUUAAUACCCCGCUGUUCUGACGGUACCCAAAGAAUAAGCACCGGCUAACUUCGUG